CUAAAACCAGCUUUGAUAGUUUGCCUCUGGACAAGGAUGAAUUUGUGGUAGGGAAAUACAGAUGCUGUUAAUAUGUAGAGAAUGCCUGCUUACAAUUGAAGAUUUCAAGUUGGGGACUGGAUUAUGGUAAUUCUAGACAGGACAGAUGAGAUUGAAUGGAAAAAGGUCAACAUGUGUUGGUUCAUAAGCAGCAUAGCAGCACAACGUGCCAGAACACUGACACCACACAGAUGAAGAGUGAAAAACAGAGACAGCUUCCCAGAGAAACGGAUUUCUUCAGAGACUCAUUAGGAAAGGAUGAGGCAUGACCC
Long non-coding RNA from Cyprinus carpio (common carp), 311 nucleotides. NCBI's taxonomy places the organism in Eukaryota, Metazoa, Chordata, Actinopteri, Cypriniformes, Cyprinidae. The record is from Ensembl.